AUUUGUGGUCAUACCACCCUGGACAUGCCUGAUCUCAUCUGAUUUCAUAAACUAAGCAGGGUUGAGUCCGGUUGGUACUUGGAUGGGAGGUUCCCAUGUAUUGUCAGCAUCUGUAAAUC
RNAcentral lists this ribosomal RNA (119 nucleotides) under Octodon degus (degu). Lineage: Eukaryota; Metazoa; Chordata; Mammalia; Rodentia; Octodontidae. The record is from RNAcentral.